Molecule: ribosomal RNA, 483 nt
Filed under: uncultured bacterium
Lineage: Bacteria
Description: partial 16S ribosomal RNA
Rfam family: Bacterial small subunit ribosomal RNA
Source: RNAcentral
AUUGAACGCUAGCGGGAUGCUUUACACAUGCAAGUCGAACGGCAGCGCGGACUUCGGUCUGGCGGCGAGUGGCGAACGGGUGAGUAAUGUAUCGGAACGUGCCCAGUAGCGGGGGAUAACUACGCGAAAGCGUAGCUAAUACCGCAUACGCCCUACGGGGGAAAGCAGGGGAUCGUAAGACCUUGCACUAUUGGAGCGGCCGAUAUCGGAUUAGCUAGUUGGUGAGGUAACGGCUCACCAAGGCGACGAUCCGUAGCUGGUUUGAGAGGACGACCAGCCACACUGGACUGAGACACGGCCCAGACUCCUACGGGAGGCAGCAGUGGGGAAUUUUGGACAAUGGGGGCAACCCUGAUCCAGCCAUCCCGCGUGUGCGAUGAAGGCCUUCGGGUUGUAAAGCACUUUUGGCAGGAAAGAAACGUCGCGGGCUAAUACCCCGUGGAACUGACGGUACCUGCAGAAUAAGCACCGGCUAACUACGUG